Molecule: ribosomal RNA, 444 nt
Filed under: uncultured bacterium
Lineage: Bacteria
Description: bacterial SSU rRNA
Rfam family: Bacterial small subunit ribosomal RNA
Source: RNAcentral
UCCAGACUCCUACGGAGGCAGCAGUGGGGAAUAUUGGACAAUGGGGGAAACCCUGAUCCAGCGACGCCGCGUGAGUGAAGAAGUAUUUUGGUACGUAAAGCUCUAUCAGCAGGAAAGAAAAUGACGGUACCUGACUAAGAAGCCCCGGCUAACUACGUGCCAGCAGCCGCGGUAAUACGUAGGGGGCAAGCGUUAUCCGGAUUUACUGGGUGUAAAGGGAGCGUAGACGGCAGCGCAAGUCUGGAGUGAAAUGCCGGGGCCCAACCCCGGAACUGCUCUGGAAACUGUGAAGCUGGAGUGCAGGAGAGGUAAGCGGAAUUCCUGGUGUAGCGGUGAAAUGCGUAGAUAUCAGGAGGAACACCGGCGGCGAAGGCGGCUUACUGGACUGUAACUGAUGUUGAGGCUCGAAGGCGUGGGGAGCAAACAGGAUUAGAUACCCCUGUA